RNAcentral lists this microRNA precursor (135 nucleotides) under Podarcis lilfordi (Lilford's wall lizard). Lineage: Eukaryota; Metazoa; Chordata; Lepidosauria; Squamata; Lacertidae. The record is from RNAcentral.
ACCGGUAAGUUUGUUCUGGGUAUAAGCUUUCGUGUGCAUGCACACUUCUUCAGAUACAGAAGAUACAGAUACAAAAGUGUAUCUGAAGAAGUGUGCAUGCACACGAAAGCUUAUACCCAGAACAAACUUAGUUGG